Molecule: long non-coding RNA, 373 nt
Filed under: Homo sapiens (human)
Lineage: Eukaryota; Metazoa; Chordata; Mammalia; Primates; Hominidae
Description: HSALNT0005176
Source: RNAcentral
CCAUUUGUGUAUCUUCUUUAGAGAAAUGUUUAGUCAAAUCCUUUGCCCAUUUUUUAAUCAGGUUGGGUUUUUGGUUGUGGUUUAGUUAUAUAUUCUGGAUAGUAACUCCUUAUCAGAAAUAUAAUUUGCAAAUAUUUUUUCCCAUUCUGUGUGUUAUCGUUUUACUCUAUUGGUUGUGUCCUUUCAUGCACAGAAGUUUUACAUUUUGAUGAAGGUCAAUUUAUUUACAUUUUCCUCGAAGGACUUACCAGCAGUGAAUGGGAGAACCUCUUCCCCAGGGUCCUGACCCACCCAACCAUAAACACACAAUAAGGAAGUAAGGGGGAUGGGGGAGGGAUAUUAAUGUUUUAAUUUGUUCUUUUGUUUAUAAGUA